AGGCGACGAUCCCUAGCUGGUCUGAGAGGAUGACCAGCCACACUGGAACUGAGACACGGUCCAGACUCCUACGGGAGGCAGCAGUGGGGAAUAUUGCACAAUGGGCGCAAGCCUGAUGCAGCCAUGCCGCGUGUAUGAAGAAGGCCUUCGGGUUGUAAAGUACUUUCAGCGGGGAGGAAGGGAGUAAAGUUAAUACCUUUGCUCAUUGACGUUACCCGCAGAAGAAGCACCGGCUAACUCCGUGCCAGCAGCCGCGGUAAUACGGAGGGUGCAAGCGUUAAUCGGAAUUACUGGGCGUAAAGCGCACGCAGGCGGUUUGUUAAGUCAGAUGUGAAAUCCCCGGGCUCAACCUGGGAACUGCAUCUGAUACUGGCAAGCUUGAGUCUCGUAGAGGGGGGUAGAAUUCCAGGUGUAGCGGUGAAAUGCGUAGAGAUCUGGAGGAAUACCCGGUGGCGAAGGCGGCCCCCUGACGAAGACUACGCUCAGUCAAAGCG
This 494-nucleotide ribosomal RNA is filed under the name Escherichia sp. RNAcentral's name for it is "bacterial SSU rRNA". It matches the Rfam family "Bacterial small subunit ribosomal RNA", at positions 271 to 761 of the family's 1533-position model. The record is from RNAcentral. Lineage: Bacteria; Pseudomonadati; Pseudomonadota; Gammaproteobacteria; Enterobacterales; Enterobacteriaceae.